GCGGAUGUGGCGGAAUUGGCAGACGCACCAGACUUAGGAUCUGGCGGUUAACAGCCGUGGGGGUUCGAGUCCCUUCAUCCGCACCA
RNAcentral lists this transfer RNA (86 nucleotides) under Bacillota bacterium. Its description in RNAcentral is "tRNA-Leu". It matches the Rfam family "tRNA". From Rfam's summary of the family: Transfer RNA (tRNA) molecules are approximately 80 nucleotides in length. Their secondary structure includes four short double-helical elements and three loops (D, anti-codon, and T loops). RNAcentral also lists the same sequence under 1 other name. Lineage: Bacteria; Bacillati; Bacillota. The record is from RNAcentral.